RNAcentral lists this ribosomal RNA (253 nucleotides) under uncultured bacterium. Its description in RNAcentral is "partial 16S ribosomal RNA". It matches the Rfam family "Bacterial small subunit ribosomal RNA", at positions 524 to 776 of the family's 1533-position model. The record is from RNAcentral.
UACGGAGGGUGCGAACGUUAAUCGGAAUCACUGGGCGUAAAGCGCGCGUAGGCGGUUUGUUAAGUGGGAUGUGAAAUCCCCGGGCUUAACCUGGGAAUUGCAUUUCAAACUGGCCGACUAGAGUACGGUAGAGGGAGGUAGAAUUUCCUGUGUAGCGGUGAAAUGCGUAGAUAUAGGAAGGAAUACCAGUGGCGAAGGCGGCCUCCUGGAUCGAUACUGACGCUGAGGCGCGAAAGCGUGGGGAGCAAACAGG